This 1678-nucleotide ribosomal RNA is filed under the name human gut metagenome. RNAcentral's name for it is "bacterial LSU rRNA". It matches the Rfam family "Bacterial large subunit ribosomal RNA", at positions 831 to 2524 of the family's 2925-position model. The record is from RNAcentral.
AAUCGAACCCGGAGAUAGCUGGUUCUCCUCGAAAUAGCUUUAGGGCUAGCCUCAUGGAUCAUUGGUGGGGGUAGAGCACUGAAUGUGCGCGGGGGCCACAAAGCCUACCAAACGCUAUCAAACUUCGAAUACCAUACAAUGCAGACCAUGGGAGUCAGUCCGCGAGAGAUAAGUUCCGCGGGCAAAAGGGGAACACCCCAGAUCAACCGCUAAGGUCCCCAAGUUCACGUUAAGUGGAGAAGGAUGUGGAAUUGCACAGACAACCAGGAUGUUGGCUCAGAAGCAGCCACACAUUUAAAGAGUGCGUAAUAGCUCACUGGUCGAGUGAUUGUGCGCCGAAGAUGUCCGGGGCUAAACGUGACACCGAAGCGAUGGGUGCAUCUGAAGAAGAUGCGCGGUAGAGGAGCAAUGUGCAGAGGCAGAAGCCGUAUCGAGAGGCACGGUGGACACUGCACAAGAGAGAAUGCCGGUAUGAGUAGCGAGAGGCAUGCGAGAAACAUGCCCGUCGAAAGCCCAAGGUUUCCUGGGGAAGGUUCAUCCGCCCAGGGUAAGUCGGGGCCUAAGCCGAGGACGGAAGUCGUAGGCGAUGGACAGCAGGUGUAGAUUCCUGCACUACCGAUGGAAUGAAGCAGUGACACAGAAGGAUAACUCGAGCAGGGUGAUGGUCAACCCUGUGCAAGCAUCAAGGUUGGGUUGUAGUGAAGUACGCAACCCUACAAGCUGAGAUGUGAUGCGGACCGAAAUUUCAGUAGGGAAGCGAGUGAGUUCACGCUGGCGAGAAAAGCUGCUAGUAUAUCCAAAGGUACCCGUACCGGAAACCGACGCAGGUGGGCGAGGAGAGAAUCCUGAGACGAACGGGAGAACCCUUGUUAAGGAACUCGGCAAAAUGACCCCGUAACUUCGGGAUAAGGGGUGCCUGCGAGAGCAGGCCGCAGAGAAUAGUCACAAGCGACUGUUUAGCAAAAACACAGGUAUCUGCGAAAGCGAGAGCUGACGUAUAGGUGCUGACACCUGCCCGGUGCUGGAAGGUUAAGGGAACAUGUUAGAGCAAUCGAAGCAUCGAACCGAAGCCCCAGUAAACGGCGGCCGUAACUAUAACGGUCCUAAGGUAGCGAAAUUCCUUGUCGGGUAAGUUCCGACCCGCACGAAUGGUGUAACGACUUGUGAGCUGUCUCAACAGGGGGCCCGGUGAAAUUGAAGUAUGGGUGAAGAUGCCCAUUACCCGCGACUGGACGGAAAGACCCCGUAGAGCUUUACUGCAGCCUGAUAUUGAGUUUCGGUAACUGAUGCACAGGAUAGGUGGGAGUCUGAGAGACAUGGGUUUCGGCUCAUGUGGAGACGGUGUUGGGAUACCACUCUUCGGUUACUGAAAUUCUAACAUAGCUCUGUGAAACCAGAGGAUGGACAGUGUCAGGUGGACAGUUUGACUGGGGCGGUCGCCUCCGAAAGAGUAACGGAGGCGCCCAAAGGUACCCUCAGAAUGGAUGGAAACCAUUCGAAGAGCGCAAAGGCAGAAGGGUGCCUGACUGCGAGAUUGACAAAUCGAGCAGAGACGAAAGUCGGGCUUAGUGAUCCGGCGGUAUUGAGUGGAAAAGCCGUCGCUUAACGGAUAAAAGCUACCUCGGGGAUAACAGGCUGAUCUCCCCCAAGAGUCCACAUCGACGGGGAGGUUUGGCAC